UGGGUCGGCCGGACGGCCGCGUCGCGGGCGGUCCGCCGCCGCGCGCCGAGGAACGUCCGGGCUCCACAGGGCAGGGCGGUGGGUAACACCCACCCGGAGUGAUCCGCGAGACAGUGCCACAGAAAGCAGACCGCCAGGACCUCGUCCUGGUAAGGGUGAAACGGCGGUGUAAGAGACCACCAGGGGUCGCGGUGACGCGAUCCGCUCGGUAAACCUCGCCCGGAGCAAGACCAGACAGAGGAUGUUGACGCGGCCCGCCGAGUCCUCGGGUAGGUCGCUGGAGCGUCACGGCAACGUGUCGCCGAGAGAGAUGGCCGUCAAGGGGGCGCGAGCCCCUGAACAGAACCCGGCGUACAGGCCGGCCCAUUCG
This 370-nucleotide RNase P RNA is filed under the name Microbacterium sp. Root53. RNAcentral's name for it is "Bacterial RNase P class A". It matches the Rfam family "Bacterial RNase P class A". Rfam says of the family: Ribonuclease P (RNase P) is a ubiquitous endoribonuclease, found in archaea, bacteria and eukarya as well as chloroplasts and mitochondria. Its best characterised activity is the generation of mature 5'-ends of tRNAs by cleaving the 5'-leader elements of precursor-tRNAs. The record is from Rfam by way of RNAcentral. Lineage: Bacteria; Bacillati; Actinomycetota; Actinomycetes; Micrococcales; Microbacteriaceae. RNAcentral also lists the same sequence under 1 other name.